UGGAAGGUAUGGGAAGUUCCUAAGAGAGC
RNAcentral lists this non-coding RNA (29 nucleotides) under Rattus norvegicus (Norway rat). The record is from RNAcentral. Lineage: Eukaryota; Metazoa; Chordata; Mammalia; Rodentia; Muridae.